Molecule: ribosomal RNA, 253 nt
Filed under: uncultured bacterium
Lineage: Bacteria
Description: partial 16S ribosomal RNA
Rfam family: Bacterial small subunit ribosomal RNA
Source: RNAcentral
UACGGAAUGUGCAAACGUUAUUAGGAAUCACUGGGCUUAAAGAGUCCGUAGGCGGCCUGUUAGGUGAGGUGUGAAAUCCCACGGCCCAACCGUGGAAUUGCGCUUCAAACCGGCAGGCUUGAGGAAGGUAGAGGUGGACGGAACUGAUGGUGGAGCGGUGAAAUGCGUUGAUAUCAUCAGGAACACCGGAGGCGAAGGCGGUCCACUGGGUCUUUUCUGACGCUGAGGGACGAAAGCUAGGGGAGCGAACGGG